CUCCAGUGCCCGUCGGGCCCCAGCCAGGCCGUCGUGGGGUCGCGGAACGCGCUCGCGUUCACUCCGGACGGGAAGAUGACGGGGUUGUAAUCGGGCUUGGUCCAUUCCCGGAGGUACGGAUCCGAUAGGUCCUUGGGGAAUGCGACGUUUUGGAGCUGGCGUCCGGCUCCGUCGAUGCCCGUGUACAUAAUGGCCGGCUUGUUGCCGGGGAGAAUGGUCGCCGAGCCCGACCAGGUCCCGUUGAUGUCGAAUGGUUUGGACGGGUAGAUCGCCGGUUCGAGCGGGAUCCAGUUGAUCAUGUCCGUUGAGAUCGAGUGCGCCCACACGAUGUUGCCCCACACCGCGCCUUUGGGAUUGUAUUGGUAGAAUAGGUGGUAUAUUCCAUUAUAGUACAUGGGUCCUGCGGAAGCUUGCAGUUUUAGCAUCUGGUCGAGAUUCUGAGGAAACCUUGGUAGGUUUGCUCGUCCGUCGUAUUUAAAAUUGGCCGGAAAAGUCAAACUAAUAAGGGACAGAAGUAGCGUACCAUUUGGAUCUGCUCGUCGCGUUCAUUGAAUUCACCGACAAGCGCAAGCGGGCAUGAGAAGAAAACACCGAAAAUAUAAGCAUCCAACCGCUCAAAUGGAAUAGGAAUUUACUGUUUGACUAAUAUUUUCUAGGAUAUAUACAUAAAUGUCUUCUUCGUCAGAAGGAUCGAGAGGAUUGAUGAGGAGAAUGCCAUCAAAACAUAGCCGUAGUGGUAAAAUAAUAACCUUUGCAUGUUAGGUGGGAAGUGAUCGACAUCGGAGUUCAAACGAAGCUGCUAAUUUUUUUCUUUUUUUUAAAAAAAAUAACAUAGACUUCGUGGUCAAAUUCCAGCGGUAUCGGACCUUUCAAUGCCAAAAGAGUACAUCCAAACGCCAGAAAUUCUUGUGGGGAUGCAGGAGUUUGACAAUAGGGAGGCCGCCGCCGCCGCCGCCGCCCAUAAGAGUCGUCGGGAAUACGUGUCAACUGGAUAUGGGCGCAUUUUAGUAAAUUUAGGUAUUUUGUCCCUAAAAUGCGCCUCAAUACAGUAAUCCGACGGCCAUGAAAAUAAAACAAAGAACAGGAUACAAGGGAACCCAAAAGAACAGCUAGGGAUAUAUAAGAGACGAGAAGGAAAGUUUGGACUGCAUCAAACGCAUUAAAUUAACAACAAAAAUAAUAAUAAUAAUAGUUUUAAUCUGGGAUCAUAUUGAGAGAUAAAUGGUGAAGAAAGAGGAAAACAAAAGGAGAAGAAGAGGCAGUAUUUUUAAAAGAGGGAGCGAAGAUUCACCGUUCAUCCAGUUUCUGGGAGGCUGGAAGUGAUAGCCUGUCUUCAACAAAGAAUUGACAACGGGGACAUGCAGGGACUGGAGGUGAGAAUACACCACAUGAGAAGCAUCCACCGUUCCAUUCCUCGCAGUGAAGAGAACCACCAGUAGUAUCCACGCCGUCCAAACUCCCCUUGUUGGAGUUCCCAUUUAAGAGUUGCAAAGCCCACGGACAGGUACAAGAAGAGAAGGAUCUAAUGAAGGGUUAGUAGUUGAAAGGAGAGAUGGAAAACAAAGAUGAUCUCUAGCUAGGGAACAUAUACAGAGAAGGACAGAGGAGGGGUUGG
Molecule: long non-coding RNA, 1615 nt
Filed under: Phoenix dactylifera (date palm)
Lineage: Eukaryota; Viridiplantae; Streptophyta; Magnoliopsida; Arecales; Arecaceae
Description: long non-coding RNA (PDAC_LNC012100)
Source: RNAcentral